AAGUAAGGUGGUAUUAGAUUGGUGCAAAAGUAAUUGCAGUUUUGCGUUAAAAGUAAUGGCAAAAACCACAAUUACUUUUGCAACAACCUAAUA
Chlorocebus sabaeus (green monkey) is the source of this 93-nucleotide microRNA precursor. The record is from Ensembl. NCBI's taxonomy places the organism in Eukaryota, Metazoa, Chordata, Mammalia, Primates, Cercopithecidae.